CACGUAGGGUGCGAGCGUUGUCCGGAAUUAUUGGGCGUAAAGAGCUCGUAGGCGGUCUGUCGCGUCUGCUGUGAAAACUCAGGGCUUAACCCUGAGCUUGCAGUGGGUACGGGCAGACUAGAGUGCGGUAGGGGAGACUGGAAUUCCUGGUGUAGCGGUGAAAUGCGCAGAUAUCAGGAGGAACACCGGUGGCGAAGGCGGGUCUCUGGGCCGUAACUGACGCUGGAGGAGCGAAAGCCGUGGGGAGCGAACAGG
This 255-nucleotide ribosomal RNA is filed under the name uncultured bacterium. RNAcentral describes it as "partial 16S ribosomal RNA". It matches the Rfam family "Bacterial small subunit ribosomal RNA", at positions 524 to 776 of the family's 1533-position model. The record is from RNAcentral.